This 70-nucleotide transfer RNA is filed under the name Camelus bactrianus (Bactrian camel). It matches the Rfam family "tRNA". From Rfam's summary of the family: Transfer RNA (tRNA) molecules are approximately 80 nucleotides in length. RNAcentral also lists the same sequence under 2 other names. Lineage: Eukaryota; Metazoa; Chordata; Mammalia; Artiodactyla; Camelidae. The record is from Rfam by way of RNAcentral.
GGUGAUAGCUCAGUGGUAGAGCACGCGCUUAGCAAGCACGAGGUCCUGGGUUCAAUCCCCAGUACUUCCA